UUCCCGAAUACAAUUCGGGCUACCCUGUAUAAAAAAAUUUGGCGUCCAAGGUUAAAUUGGCUAUCCCAAAUAGUUGUUUAAUUUAUGUUAUAUGUUUUGUGCAUGGAUAUAAUUUCCUAAAAAUAUAUUUGUGUGGUGUCUUCUUUCAAUAAUUCAUCAACUAACUGAAUGUGCAUUAAAUUCGUUUACAGCGCUAUAGUAGCACAUGCUCAUGAAGAACCUACUGUCAAAUCUGACUGAAGGAUAGAUGGAGAUAUUAAAUUAAUAUGAACAAAAGGCGACGCUAAUAUAAGCCAAAAUAAAAAUUAUUUAUUUUCUGUGUUUUAUUCUUCUUCAACAAUGGCAAAAAGCCAUCAAAUAUGUUUAAUAUAUGAUUAUCCCUAUUUAAAAAAAAAUCUCAAGUGGUCCUUUAUAUCAGUAUAAAUUCGCUCUACAAUUACAUUUUUAUUAAUUUGUUAAAAUGAUUGAGAUAAUUACAAGUCAUAUAAUUCUAAUUAUUUUCGACGUUUCCAAAAAAUUAUCUUAAGUAUUUUAGGAAUAUUAAUGUAAAUUGAAUUUCUUACCAUUUAAUUAAUUUUUAUCAAUUAUUUUAAAAGGGCUCAGUUAAUCGAAAGACAAAGACUUCUUGCUGCAGAAGAAGCCCAGUCAGUGAGCGAAAUCAGCUCUUUAGAAGGGAGUUUAAAUGCCUCAGAGUCAAUUAAUGCUGAAGAUAUGCGAUAUAGAAAUAGAUAUUUAAAUAAAAUUGGAGCCGAGUUACCUCCUUCAUAACAACAAUGGAAGUUAAGGUUUCAGACUAUACACAUAGCAUGAAUUGUGAUAUUUUAGGAAAAUUUGAUCUUUGUUUAUGUAAGAUACAAAUUUGUAUAUCUCAAAUAAUGAAAAGUUAAUUUUGUCAAUUAUGUAUCCUAUAUAUUUGUUGAUCGAUCUUUAGGACCAAUAUGCAUACAAGUAUGCAAUUUGUUAUGAUCUUUCGAGAGACAAUAACACAUUUUUGACAAAUAUAAAAUGUAAGAUUUGAUGACAAUUUAGUUUUAAAAUUUAUUUUUAUAAGCAAUAAUUAUACAUAUAGGUGUGCUAUAUUUAUGUUAAGUUGUAAAUAUAUUUAUAAGUUAAUAAAAAUCAAAUCAUGUA
Sitophilus oryzae (rice weevil) is the source of this 1131-nucleotide long non-coding RNA. RefSeq lists it as uncharacterized. Lineage: Eukaryota; Metazoa; Arthropoda; Insecta; Coleoptera; Curculionidae. The record is from RefSeq and is a predicted model, not a curated record. The transcript is spliced from 2 exons.